GUGAUAUUACACAGACGUUUCAAGUGUGCAGUGAACAUUUUCACAGGUUUUUGAAUAAAAACAAAGCAGGCUGCAAAUCAAAGAUAUGUGGGAUACCUGAUAUAAUUUCCUCUCACAACAAAGACAACAAAAUAUAUGGAGGAUGGUAUGGGGUAAAGGCAUAACAUAAAUGUAUCUUUGGAAAAAGUGAAAGAGAUUCAUGCUAGAACAGGAAUCAUAGUUCCAGUUGGAACUCCAAUAUGUCCAAGAUGCAGAAAGACCCUUUAUUGUGGGCAAUCCACUUCAUGUAGCUUGGCUGAAAUUUGUGCAAAUACAAAUUGUUUGAUGAACAGUGACAACCUUGGUGAUACAUGUAGCUAUCAAUAUGAAGAACAGUAUAAUCUCAGACCUAAUCGACUUAAUAGUGGAUAUAAU
This is a long non-coding RNA of Mytilus trossulus (common blue mussel), 414 nucleotides long. RefSeq lists it as uncharacterized. NCBI's taxonomy places the organism in Eukaryota, Metazoa, Mollusca, Bivalvia, Mytilida, Mytilidae. The transcript is spliced from 3 exons. The record is from RefSeq and is a predicted model, not a curated record.